CUCGUAGGCGGUUCGUCGCGUCCGGUGUGAAAGUCCAUCGCUUAACGGUGGAUCUGCGCCGGGUACGGGCGGGCUGGAGUGCGGUAGGGGAGACUGGAAUUCCCGGUGUAACGGUGGAAUGUGUAGAUAUCGGGAAGAACACCAGUGGCGAAGGCGGCUUACUGGACGGUAACUGACGUUGAGGCUCGAAAGCGUGGGGAGCAAACA
Molecule: ribosomal RNA, 207 nt
Filed under: uncultured bacterium
Lineage: Bacteria
Description: partial 16S ribosomal RNA
Rfam family: Bacterial small subunit ribosomal RNA
Source: RNAcentral